UACGUAGGGGGCAAGCGUUGUCCGGAUUUAUUGGGCGUAAAGAGCUCGUAGGCGGCUCGGUAAGUCCGCUGUGAAAGUCGAGGGCUCAACCCUCGAAUGCCGGUGGAUACUGUCGGGCUUGAGUACGGGAGAGGCGAGUGGAAUUCCUGGUGUAGCGGUGAAAUGCGCAGAUAUCAGGAGGAACACCGAUUGCGAAGGCAGCUCGCUGGAACGUUACUGACGCUGAGACGCGAAAGCGUGGGGAGCAAACAGG
This 253-nucleotide ribosomal RNA is filed under the name uncultured bacterium. Its description in RNAcentral is "partial 16S ribosomal RNA". It matches the Rfam family "Bacterial small subunit ribosomal RNA", at positions 524 to 776 of the family's 1533-position model. The record is from RNAcentral.